AAGCUCGUAGUUGAAUUUCGAGACCGGUUUACUGGUCGUGCUUUUGUACGUACUGGUAUAAUCGAUUUCUCUUUUCUGACGAACUAUAAUGCCAUUAAUUUGGUGUUAUAGGGAAUCAGGACUGUUACUUUGAAAAAACUUAGAGUGUUUAAAAACCAGGCUCUCGCUUGAAUACAUUAGCAUGGAAUAACGAAAUAGGACGUUUGAUUUUAUUUUGUUGGUUUCUAGGAUCGACGUAAUGAUUAAUAGGGAUAGGUUGG
This 260-nucleotide ribosomal RNA is filed under the name uncultured Glomus. RNAcentral describes it as "partial 18S ribosomal RNA". It matches the Rfam family "Eukaryotic small subunit ribosomal RNA", at positions 624 to 886 of the family's 1831-position model. Lineage: Eukaryota; Fungi; Glomeromycota; Glomeromycetes; Glomerales; Glomeraceae. The record is from RNAcentral.